GCAGCCGACCUGGCUGUGAGGCCGGGGCGCCCCCCAGUGACCGUAGGGGAGCUUUGCUCCGGGAGGCGGCGGAAGUGGCUUUGGGUUCUGGUCGCACGGAUAUGGUGGAGGAGGUGCGGCAGGAGCUCUCGGCGCUGGCCGCGAUCUUCUGCGGGCCCAACGAGUGGGAGAUGUUGAGCUGUUCAGAGACAGAUGGGGCUGUGUUUAGAAUUCACACAACAGCUGAAGGACUUGUGGGUGAGGAUGUGCCCUUAGAGUUGGCGUUCCAUUUACCAGUUGGUUACCCUUUGUGUCUACCCGGCAUCUCGGUUACCUCGGAACAUCUGACCAGGGCCCAGUGUGUUACCGCGAAGGAGAAGUUACUUGGAGAAGCCAGGAAGCUCGUGUCAGAACCGAUGGUUCACGAGCUGGUUCUUUGGAUCCAGCAGAAUCUCAGACUUGUCCUCAGCCAGCCGGAGACCGCCAGCAGCCAUGAGAAGUGCACUUUGCCAGAAAGUGCGACGGGGGACGAUGGACCGUGGAUGACUCUUUUGCGUUUAGAUCACAUGAGAGCGAGGACUAAAUAUGUCAAAGCCGUGGAGAAGUGGGCUUCAGAGUUAAGGCUGACAGGAAGACUGAUGUUCAUGGGUAAAUUAAUACUGAUUUUACUACAAGGAGACAGAAGCAACAUCAAGGUGCUGGAAAACUUCAUUUUGAAUAUGAAUCUACUUGCUUUCUCUUAAAUAUGGUGCAUUUUUAAGUGUGUUUUAUAACAGUGAGCUAGUCGAAGCAUGGUGUUUCUGAUUUGCCUAUCAUCGUGUUAAAUGGUACUUUGUUUUUUUUUUUUUUUCUCCUCUAUUCUUUAUAUUUGUUUAUCUUUUGUGUCUGGGUGUUUUGUCGGGAUGUGUCUGUGCACCUCGUGUAAACGUUUAGAAAAGCCUCUGAUGCUCACAGAGCCUGGAGGAGGGGGUUGGAUCUCCUGGGAGCUUCGAGCUAUGAGCUGGGUAUCAAACACAGCCUCCGGAAGAGCAACCAAGUUCUAACCACUGAGCCAUCUCUCUAGGCACCCAACCAUCUUUCCCCAGUUGUUUUUUUAAAAUAUACAUAUCUAUCUAUCUAUCUAUCUUGUCCCUAACAACAGCUAUAAACUUGCAAGGUUCAGGAUUAGCAUAAGAUUAUAAUGUAAAAAUUAUGCCACUCAAUGAAAUGACAGUUUUUUUUUAUUUCUUAUUUUCUUAAAAAUGUGUAUGCGUGUUUUGCUUGCAUGUAUAUAUGUACAGUGCCCAAGGAAGCCAGAAGAGGGUGUUGGCUCCCUAGGAACUGGAUAGCUGCCUUUGGGUAUUGGGAACCAAGAAGUGCUCUUAACCGCCGAGUUAUCUCUCUAGCACCAGCCCCAGUUUUGGAAAAGUCCAAGGACAUGUAUUUGUUUCCUAUUAAUGGUAAACUGCAUCUGUAUAAACAAGAACAAAAAACUUGUCCAUAUUAAUUUUUUCCACAGCUCAGCACAGCAAGGAGUAUGUUUGUGAGUAGUCUGCAAAUUUCCUAACAUGCAGGCGCUUAGAAGCGCAUCCUGACACUUCAGUGUUGUACCUGUAGUGCCUGAGAGGAAGGCUUGUCCUUUACAGCCAGGAGCCAGCCUCAGAGGAAGCAGGGUCGCCAGGACUGUCAGCUUGUCACCUCCUCCAGACUUCUUCUUUCCACCUGACUUGUCCCAGCAGCUGCCUUCAAAGCCCUCAUCUUCAGCUUCCCGAGCUCUCAUCCUGAAGCCCCCUAGCCUGUUUUAUGAGGAGCCAGACAAGGAAACCUGCUUAUUAUGCCUUACAUUUUAACAGAGCUACAGAUCACUUCAUACGUUUUGCAGUGUCAGAGAGUACCUGAUUCUUCAGAAAACCUCCAAAGUAGAUGUGGACUCAAGUGGAAAGAAAUGCAAAGAGAAAAUGAUUAGUGUACUGUCUGAAACAAAAGUACAAACGGAACACAAAAGGUUUCUGGCGUUUGAAGUCAAAGAGUAUUCAACACUGGAGGAGUUACAAAAGGAAUUCGGAGCUGCAGGACUUGGGGAGCUCUUCUCAGAGUGUGUACUGGGGCUGGUGAAAUGAGGAAGAAAAGCGAGUCCUGUUUUAUGGAAUAUUAAACAUGAAAAGAUCCCAUAUAUUCUAACGUUUGCCAGAAAAGACUAGGUUCAAUAGACGGAUUGUCUGGAGGAGAGAGAAACCCACCACAGUAAAGGAACUGUUGUUUUUAUAGAGACAAUUUGUUUAGAACUCUGCAAUUUUCAGGCUAAUUUUCUCGUAAUUAAAUGAUUUCUUAAAGUGAUUUGUUUUCAUGUUUACUUUCUCAUGUUUAUGUUUUUUGCCUUUAAUCGUGCCUUCCUCCCCACUCUGCUUAUUAUGUUUUAAGUUGGAUGUUGAGAAAAAUCUAACACUCAUUUCUUGGUGCGGUUGCAUAAAUCGUUGGAUUAAAUACAAAACCAAGAAGUUUUACAGAACACAGUUGCUUUCUGGAGAGCUGGAAGAAUACACAGUGAGUUCAAAUCGAAAUUCAUAUGUGAAAAAAAUAAUUUCUGGUUUUACAAGGAAAAUGUGUCCAACAAAGUGAACCCUUUUUAUUUUUUUUGGUGGAAAAACAAACCAAACUGUAGCUCUACAAUUUUCAUUGUGAAAUCUCUCAAAUAAUGGUAAAAUGUACUAACUAUGUCCAAGGGGAGAUAAACUCGCAGCAUAAUUAUUUAUAUUAAAAUUUAUGAUGAAAUGUAAAAGGA
This is an RNA transcript of Mus musculus (house mouse), 2740 nucleotides long. It is a transcript of the gene named RWD domain containing 3, with no coding region annotated. The record is from RefSeq and is marked validated. The transcript is spliced from 5 exons. NCBI's taxonomy places the organism in Eukaryota, Metazoa, Chordata, Mammalia, Rodentia, Muridae.